AAACUAUUCUAGUAAAAAUCCAGACUAUGUGAUGGAGGAUAUAACUCAGGAAGAAGGCCAUCAUUAUCUGGACGUCGCCAAAGGAACAGGUGAAGGUGUUCAUCAAGAGGAUCAAGAGCAAACCUCAAGAUCCCAGUAUGAUGAACUUGACAAUUACAGACAAGAAAAUGUUUAUGCUAAAGUAGUGGAUGAUAACGCAGAGCAUUAUACGAAUACAGCAUAGUUUAAUUGUAUCUAUGCAUCAAAAAACACAACGUGCACUAUGGACGGCCUCUUACAACAAAAAAUAUCAGUGGCGUUGAUAUUUAAA
This is a long non-coding RNA of Saccostrea cuccullata (small rock oyster), 310 nucleotides long. RefSeq lists it as uncharacterized. The transcript has 4 exons. Lineage: Eukaryota; Metazoa; Mollusca; Bivalvia; Ostreida; Ostreidae. The record is from RefSeq and is a predicted model, not a curated record.